This 490-nucleotide ribosomal RNA is filed under the name uncultured bacterium. RNAcentral describes it as "partial 16S ribosomal RNA". It matches the Rfam family "Bacterial small subunit ribosomal RNA", at positions 30 to 507 of the family's 1533-position model. The record is from RNAcentral.
AUUGAACGCUGGCGGCAUGCCUUACACAUGCAAGUCGAACGGCAGCAUGAUCUAGCUUGCUCGAUUGAUGGCGAGUGGCGAACGGGUGAGUAAUACAUCGGAACGUGCCCUGUAGUGGGGGAUAACUAGUCGAAAGAUUAGCUAAUACCGCAUACGACCUGAGGGUGAAAGUGGGGGACCGCAAGGCCUCAUGCUAUAGGAGCGGCCGAUGUCUGAUUAGCUAGUUGGUGAGGUAAGGGCUCACCAAGGCGACGAUCAGUAGCUGGUCUGAGAGGACGAUCAGCCACACUGGGACUGAGACACGGCCCAGACUCCUACGGGAGGCAGCAGUGGGGAAUUUUGGACAAUGGGCGAAAGCCUGAUCCAGCAAUGCCGCGUGUGUGAAGAAGGCCUUCGGGUUGUAAAGCACUUUUGUCCGGAAAGAAAUGGCUCUGGUUAAUACCUGGGGUCGAUGACGGUACCGGAAGAAUAAGGACCGGCUAACUACGUG